This 268-nucleotide long non-coding RNA is filed under the name Rattus norvegicus (Norway rat). Its description in RNAcentral is "long non-coding RNA NONRATT028879". Lineage: Eukaryota; Metazoa; Chordata; Mammalia; Rodentia; Muridae. The record is from RNAcentral.
UCCGCGGGUAUCUUUGCUCAAACUUGGUUGCUCAGCGAAUCAGUACGCCAGGAUGUGGAUUGGAGAGGGACCUGACGACUCAACAAAGUUAGAUAUUUCACUGUCAGAAUGACGUAUUUAACUAGUUGCUGCCCAAGGAUGCUCUCCUACAGGGACUGCUCCACUGCUCUCCCACUGAGACACCCUGUGCCUGCCUCUUUGUUCAGCUACCUGCAAUGACCCGACCUCUAUGUUCAACUGUACAUAAUAAACUAUACAAAGUCAACCA